UGCUAGGUAGCUCAGUGGUUAAGCCGUUUGAGUACUGCUCAGAAGGUUGUGUGUUCAAAUCCCAGCAUUGCCAA
Molecule: non-coding RNA, 74 nt
Organism: Ameiurus melas (black bullhead)
Lineage: Eukaryota; Metazoa; Chordata; Actinopteri; Siluriformes; Ictaluridae
Source: the annotation of a GenBank genome assembly